Molecule: microRNA precursor, 105 nt
Filed under: Prunus persica (peach)
Lineage: Eukaryota; Viridiplantae; Streptophyta; Magnoliopsida; Rosales; Rosaceae
Description: miR6291c stem-loop (ppe-MIR6291c)
Source: miRBase by way of RNAcentral
AAUGCUAGGAAGACCACAUUUAUAGAUUACCUUGUAUAGCACCUCUCUAAUAGAAGUGGAGAGGUGGUACACAAGGUAGUUUAUAAAUGUGGUCUUCCUAGCAUU